RNAcentral lists this ribosomal RNA (772 nucleotides) under Photorhabdus luminescens. RNAcentral's name for it is "bacterial LSU rRNA". It matches the Rfam family "Bacterial large subunit ribosomal RNA", at positions 101 to 805 of the family's 2925-position model. Lineage: Bacteria; Pseudomonadati; Pseudomonadota; Gammaproteobacteria; Enterobacterales; Morganellaceae. The record is from RNAcentral.
AUAGCCGCGAUGUCCGAAUGGGAACCCAGUGCGAUGCGUCGCACUAUCAUUAACUGAAUCCAUAGGUUAAUGAGGCGAACCGGGGGAACUGAAACAUCUCAGUACCCCGAGGAAAAGAAAUCAACCGAGAUUCCCCCAGUAGCGGCGAGCGAACGGGGAGCAGCCCAGAACCAGCAUCAGCCAUAGCAUCAGAGGAACGGUCUGGAAAGGCCGGCGAGAGAGGGUGACAGCCCCGUACUCGAAGGUGGCAUGGCUGUGAGUUCGACGAGUAAGGCGGGACACGAGAAAUCCUGUCUGAAGAUGGGGGGACCAUCCUCCAAGGCUAAAUACUCCUGACUGACCGAUAGUGAACCAGUACCGUGAGGGAAAGGCGAAAAGAACCCCGGCGAGGGGAGUGAAAGAGAACCUGAAACCGUGUACGUACAAGCAGUGGGAGCCCCACCACCAAAGCGUUUCGCUUUGCGUGGCGCACAAAAUGCGUAACGUCAUCUCAGAUGACGGUUGGCGGAGCGGCAGCGACGCCCAACACACUAAUCAAGCAGUGGAGCGUUUUGGGGUGGGGUGACUGCGUACCUUUUGUAUAAUGGGUCAGCGACUUAUAUUCUGUAGCAAGGUUAACCGUAUAGGGGAGCCGCAGGGAAACCGAGUCUUAACUGGGCGAAUGAGUUGCAGGGUAUAGACCCGAAACCCGGUGAGCUAGCCAUGGGCAGGUUGAAGGUUGGGUAACACUAACUGGAGGACCGAACCGACUAAUGUUGAAAAAUUAGCGGAU